RNAcentral lists this ribosomal RNA (473 nucleotides) under uncultured bacterium. RNAcentral's name for it is "bacterial SSU rRNA". It matches the Rfam family "Bacterial small subunit ribosomal RNA", at positions 355 to 825 of the family's 1533-position model. The record is from RNAcentral.
UGGGGAAUUGUUCGCAAUGGGCGCAAGCCUGACGACGCAAUGCCGCGUGGAGGAUGAAGAAUUUCGGUUCGUAAACUCCUUUCGACCGAGAUGAAUGUCCGCUGACCUAACACGUCGGCGGGGUGACAGUAUCGAGGGAAGAAGCACCGGCUAACUACGUGCCAGCAGCCGCGGUAAUACGUAGGGUGCGAGCGUUAAUCGGAAUUACUGGGCGUAAAGGGCGCGUAGGCGGCAUGACAAGUCACUUGUGAAAUCUCUGGGCUUAACCCAGAACGGCCAAGUGAUACUGUCGCGCUAGAGUGCAGAAGGGGCAAUCGGAAUUCUUGGUGUAGCGGUGAAAUGCGUAGAUAUCAAGAGGAACACCUGAGGUGAAGACGGGUUGCUGGGCUGACACUGACGCUGAGGCGCGAAAGCCAGGGGAGCAAACGGGAUUAGAUACCCCUGUAGUCCCUGAGCGGGCUGGCAAGGCGCAU